This 443-nucleotide ribosomal RNA is filed under the name uncultured bacterium. RNAcentral describes it as "partial 16S ribosomal RNA". It matches the Rfam family "Bacterial small subunit ribosomal RNA", at positions 338 to 795 of the family's 1533-position model. The record is from RNAcentral.
CCUACGGGAGGCAGCAGUGGGGAAUAUUGGGCAAUGGGCGCAAGCCUGACCCAGCAACGCCGCGUGAAGGAAGAAGGCUCUCGGGUUGUAAACUUCUUUUCUGAGGGACGAAGAAAGUGACGGUACCUCAGGAAUAAGCCACGGCUAACUACGAGCCAGCAGCCGCGGCAAUACGUAGGUGGCAAGCGUUAUCCGGAUUUAUUGGGUGUAAAGGGCGUGUAGGCGGGAAAGGAAGUCAGAUGUGAAAACUCAGGGCUCAACCCAGAGCCGGCAUUUGAAACUGUUUUUCUUGAGUGCUGGAGAGGUAAGCGGAAUUUGGUGUGUAGCGGUGAAAUGCGUAGAUAUACGGAGGAACACCGAUGGCGAAGGCGGAUUGCUGGACAGUAACUGACGCUGAGGCGCGAAAGCGUGGGGAGCAAACAGGAUUAGAUACCCUUGUAGUC